RNAcentral lists this ribosomal RNA (440 nucleotides) under uncultured bacterium. RNAcentral's name for it is "partial 16S ribosomal RNA". It matches the Rfam family "Bacterial small subunit ribosomal RNA", at positions 338 to 795 of the family's 1533-position model. The record is from RNAcentral.
CCUACGGGUGGCAGCAGUGGGGAAUAUUGCACAAUGGGGGAAACCCUGAUGCAGCGACGCCGCGUGAGUGCAGAAGUAAUUCGUUAUGUAAAGCUCUAUCAGCAGGGAAGAAAAUGACGGUACCUGAGUAAGAAGCCCCGGCUAACUACGUGCCAGCAGCCGCGGUAAUACGUAGGGGGCAAGCGUUAUCCGGAUUUACUGGGUGUAAAGGGAGCGUAGACGGCAGUGCAAGUCUGGAGUGAAAGGCGGGGGCUCAACCCCCGGACUGCUCUGGAAACUGUACGGCUGGAGUGCAGGAGAGGCAAGUGGAACUACAUGUGUAGCGGUAAAAUGCGUAAAUAUAUGUAAGAACACCAGUGGCGAAGGCGGCUUGCUGGGUCGAUACUGACAUUGAGGCACGAAAGCGUGGGGAGCAAACAGGAUUAGAUACCCUUGUAGUC